UGGGGGAUAUUGCACAAUGGGCGAAAGCCUGAUGCAGCGACGCCGCGUGGGGGAUGAAGGCUUUCGGGUUGUAAACCUCUUUCGCUAUCGAACAAGGCCCGCUUAGGGUGGGUUGAGGGUAGGUGGAGAAGAAGCGCCGGCUAACUACGUGCCAGCAGCCGCGGUAAUACGUAGGGCGCGAGCGUUGUCCGGAAUUAUUGGGCGUAAAGGGCUUGUAGGCGGCUUGUUGCGCCUGCUGUGAAAACGCGGGGCUUAACUUCGCGCGUGCAGUGGGUACGGGCAGGCUUGAGUGUGGUAGGGGUGACUGGAAUUCCAGGUGUAGCGGUGGAAUGCGCAGAUAUCUGGCGGAACACCGAUGGCGAAGGCAGGUCACUGGGCCAUUACUGACGCUGAGGAGCGAAAGCAUGGGUAGCGAGCAGG
This 420-nucleotide ribosomal RNA is filed under the name bacterium. RNAcentral's name for it is "partial 16S ribosomal RNA". It matches the Rfam family "Bacterial small subunit ribosomal RNA", at positions 355 to 776 of the family's 1533-position model. The record is from RNAcentral.